AUGAUGGUAUUGUAGGCGUGCACAGUGUUGUGGUUCUGCCGCGAGACCGCGAUCGUCCACCCCACCCGCCCCGCCAUCAGCGCUCGGUCGACACCGCGCCGCCACCGAUCAACGCCCGCGGAUCCUCCACCCUCCUCCCUACCGCUGCCGCAAUCAACGCGGUCCUCCCCACGCGGAUCCGCGGGCCCUCCUCCCCACCGCCGUGCAACAGAUCCGCGGGACCGCAGCCGCCAUGGAAGGUCGUCCGCACUGUGGAUCCCAACCUCAAAUCCUCCCAGAUCCGCGCCCCGCACGCCGCCGCCUGCACCCGCCGUACGCCUGCCUCCACCGCGCCAGCAGUGCUCUCGCCAGAACCGCGCAUGCGCGCCCGCGAAUGGAUCUCGCCCGACGCUCCCGCCACGCACGCCGUGACCUCCGCCGCUCCCUCACCUCCUCCGCAACCCUGCUCCGAGCCCCCGCGAUGGGAUCACCCAUCUGCAUCGCACCCCCUUCUCCACCAACCCUCCGGCGUCUCCAGAGCGCCCAGAUCCCGCUCCGGCACCUCGCCAGCACACACCACGCGCGCGCCGAUCUGCUCGCUCGCCCGCCCCAAAUCCCGCCCGGUUCCUCUACCUUCCCCACAUCGGGCGUCAACGUUCGCGGACCAACCUUCCCCAAAUCCGCCCCGGUUCCUCUCCCUUCCCCACAUCGCCUGUCGACAUUCGCGGACGGGGCUUCCCCACAUUCGGCACCUGUUGUUACUGGGUAUAGGAUACAUCGGUACCUGUUGUUACUAGGUUCCUUGGGAAGGGCUGGAAAUCUGGUGCUGUAACUACUUUAGGCCGAGGUGGUAACGACAUGACUGCUACAACCAUUGGUAAAGCCUUGGGACCGAGAGAAAUUCAGGUAUGGAAAGAUGUUGAUGGUGUACUUACUUGUGUUCCAAAUAUCUACCCACAUGCAAAUAAUGUUCCAUACUUAACAUUUGAAGAGGCCACAGAACUUGCUUUUUUGGUGCUCAGGUUGUACUAACUAGCAUAGUGCUCAAGUCAAAUGUCACUAUGUUGGACAUUGUGAGCACUCGGAUGCUUGGUCAGUAUGGUUUUCUGGCAAGGGUAUUUGCUAUAUUUGAAGAUCUAUGUAUAUCUGUGGAUUGUGUUGCUACCAGUGAAGUUAGUGUUUCUGUGUCACUUGAUCCAUCAAAGAUCUGGAAGUUUUUUCUUGCUCGCACCCAAACCUAUUUCCAAUGCUCUUAACCCUUGAUAACAAGGUCAAUAGGAGAUGUGUAUCUGAAGAAACCAGAAUUUAAUAGAGAACCUUUGCACAGCAAGUUUCGUCUUCAGGAAACUUUUAGGAGACCACUUCUUAGUUCUGAUCCAGCAAUUACUGUCCACCAUCACCAUUUUUGCAUUUCAUGGACUCUGGGAACAUCUUAGUAAUCAGUAAGUGGUUGACACGGUCCAAAGUAGCCCGCGUAAUGUAUGUAUUCUUAUCUUAUAUUCAGUUUCUGUAAAUUGGUCUUUUUGAGACUUGGUGCCAAAUGUUACUACAUAUUUAAAAUAGUAUAAUUAAGGAUAUGGUUAGGCUCUCGUUGCGGCAUAUUUUCCUCCUAACUAAUCAUAUCCAUUCGGUUUUAGUUUUGGCAUGUACCAUUAAUUGUUCCGUUUCAAAUACGCUUAUGAUAUUAAAUUUGUGAUUAAGAUCCUAAAUGACAAGUUGCUUUUCUAGACACCAAUUAUUGCAGCUGUAUGUAUUGCUGUUGUAGUGUUCUAUUUUCAAUUUUUGAACCAAAUACUACUAGCGAUUAUUUAUAUACAAUAAACUGAUACUGUGCACUUUGGGUGCGUUUAGUUGCUCCCUUUUUGUGCUCUGCCAAAUGGUUGGCUGGCCAAUUUUAGGCGGCAUAGGAAUCAGCUGGGCAUUAUCCUGAAUGUACUGUGCAUUGGUCGCACGACGUUGGGCAAAACAAAACACGACUAGAAUCCAAGCUCCUAUUCUACAUACAGUUACUGACCAAUGUUUUGAUUAAGAACUUGUAGGCGCAAUCCAAACACACCCUAUACAUGAUGUUUUUCAUUAUCUCAUUCUAGAUGCCUUAUUAGGUUAUAUGUAUAUGCAACCUCUCAAUGAGGCAAGUCUGUUAAACAUUGUGCAUAUGGAUUUUCUGUUUCGUUUUCUCCUUGUACUAUCUUAAAGUUUCAGUUAGGUACAUAUAUUUGAUUGUUGCUUCUAGCCCACAUCUUUGUCCAGGUACCACAAGUACAAGAGCCCUAGAAGGGGAUCUAUAGACCCAAGCGAUGAGUCGUUCUUCAUUAAGCACUGCCUCUAUUCGAGUUCUUUGCCACUAGCCCACUAGAGAUCUGUAGAAGCUCAGGAACCUUAAGUGGCUUUCAUCGGGAUGUCACAAGUAUUUGUGAUGAGGAGCAGUAGAGAUUUAGCGUUUUCGAGCUGCAGCGUAACAGUCUGGAUUUGAGUUCCAUGGGGACUGCAUGUCAAGCCAGCAGUUGGUCGAUUUCAUCCGCGAGCAUAUAGACACAGUUGUCCACAGAUCAUUCUGAAAAGGCAUUUCGAGUAAGGAUGGCAAACAGGUGCCCAUGAAGUUGCUGCUCGCUCGGAUGGUGCUCGACCUAAUUGUGUUGCCGAAGUUCUUAUUGAGGUUAUUAAGAUUUGCCAACUUUUUAGGUAGGUGUUCCAGAGCACGGAAGGCCCUUGAGCUAAGCCAACUUUUAGGAGUCAAUAUUUCUCCAACAGGUACUUUUGCAGUAGUCAUGAGUCAUUGCUUAUAUGAAGUAAGGAGAGAAAAUUAUUGCUUCUCUUUUCUGAUGCGUGAAGUUGUACAUGGACAUUCUACAGAGGGCUCGGUGUGCCUUUCAAGUACUACAUCAAUGACUUCUUAUUUCUUUAUGGACUUGUAGCACCUGAAUGGAACCCGUGUUUGAACUCUGCAUUUUUUGAAGAUGACAUUAUUGUCGUAUUGUAAUAUAAUUUGAUCCGUAUCAAUUUAGUUAUGUAUUAAUUGUUGCCAAAGAAUUUAUGAGAUAUUGAGAUCGAUAAUAUAUGUGGUAUUUUUUUUAUAUAAUUGUUGUGCAAUAACAUUUUGCUGAAUAUUUUGUAUACCGUUGCAACGCACGGGCUCCUAACUAGUUUAUCUUGAAUUACAUUUUUUGUGUGUCAGGUGGUCUUUGUUGAAGCAACUGAAGCCCAAUACGCAUUCAAAAAACCACUAUAUACACGAUAUAAUACGUAAUUUUGCCAGUGGUGUGAUGCGGACUCGAGCAUCACCAAUUCACCUCUCUGUUGUAUCUAACGGCAGUUAUGGCCUCAUGGAGUCAUGGGUUUAACCUCUGGAACCCUGAAUCUGAAUAAGCAAUCCGUACCGUGCAACUGAACUAACCAUCAAUACUCAAGACCGAGAGCGCCUUUAUUGAAGCUACCAAGGAAAUCAAUGACCUGUGCUCUAGGUAUGAUGUGAAGCCGGGCAAUGCCAUUCUUGCUGAGGACAAACAUUUGCCAAUAGAAUGGGAAACAAAUUCUUGAUGUUGUCACAUUAAGCACCCAUGAGACGGGGAGAAACAUAGUGGACUCCUAAUUUUUAUGGCUAGCUUGCAGUGAAAGAGCUGCAGAAGAUUAAUUCCUUUAAAGAACCACGUGAGAAGCUUCUGUGCAUCAUGAGCUGUUGUCAAGUCAUCAAUAACUUGCUUCUGAACAUAUUAUCUAGGCUGAUGAGUUCCUUCCUAUUCUUAUCUAUGUUACUAUCAAG
This is a long non-coding RNA of Zea mays, 3739 nucleotides long. RefSeq lists it as uncharacterized. The transcript has 13 exons. Lineage: Eukaryota; Viridiplantae; Streptophyta; Magnoliopsida; Poales; Poaceae. The record is from RefSeq and is a predicted model, not a curated record.